Molecule: ribosomal RNA, 433 nt
Filed under: uncultured bacterium
Lineage: Bacteria
Description: partial 16S ribosomal RNA
Rfam family: Bacterial small subunit ribosomal RNA
Source: RNAcentral
AACGAACGCUGGCGGCAUGCCUAACACAUGCAAGUCGAACGAACCCUUCGGGGUUAGUGGCGCACGGGUGCGUAACGCGUGGGAAUCUGCCCUUUGCUUCGGAAUAACUCAGGGAAACUUGUGCUAAUACCGGAUGAUGUCUUCGGACCAAAGAUUUAUCGGCAAGGGAUGAGCCCGCGUAGGAUUAGGUAGUUGGUGGGGUAAAGGCCUACCAAGCCGACGAUCCUUAGCUGGUCUGAGAGGAUGAUCAGCCACACUGGGACUGAGACACGGCCCAGACUCCUACGGGAGGCAGCAGUGGGGAAUAUUGGACAAAGGGCGCAAGCCUGAUCCAGCAAUGCCGCGUGAGUGAUGAAGGCCCUCGGGUCGUAAAGCUCUUUUACCAGGGAUGAUAAUGACAGUACCUGGAGAAUAAGCUCCGGCUAACUCCGUG